Nycticebus coucang (slow loris) is the source of this 81-nucleotide small nucleolar RNA. RefSeq annotates it as small nucleolar RNA SNORD74. The transcript has a single exon. Lineage: Eukaryota; Metazoa; Chordata; Mammalia; Primates; Lorisidae. The record is from RefSeq and is a predicted model, not a curated record.
GAGAACGGCCUCUAAUGAAGCCUAUGUUUGGUAAGACCAUCUGAGAGUGCUGAUGAAUGCCAACAGCUUUGAUGGAAAAAA